CUGUCCUCUGGAGUUCCCCUGGCCGCUUCAUUGGGGCUAUUAUAUACCCUUAAUUAUACAUGUGUUAUUCCUGCCCUACUGAAGUGUUUGGGGGAACUCUAGGUGCCAU
This is a non-coding RNA of Ricinus communis (castor bean), 109 nucleotides long. The record is from Rfam. Lineage: Eukaryota; Viridiplantae; Streptophyta; Magnoliopsida; Malpighiales; Euphorbiaceae.